UACGUAGGGUGCAAGCGUUGUCCGGAAUUAUUGGGCGUAAAGAGCUCGUAGGCGGUUUGUCGCGUCUGCUGUGAAAACCCGAGGCUCAACCUCGGGCCUGCAGUGGGUACGGGCAGACUAGAGUGCGGUAGGGGAGUGUGGAAUUCCCGGUGUAGCGGUGAAAUGCGCAGAUAUCGGGAGGAGCACCAGUAGCGAAGGCGGCACUCUGGGCCGGUACUGACGCUGAGGAGCGAAAGCGUGGGGAGCAAACAGG
This 253-nucleotide ribosomal RNA is filed under the name uncultured bacterium. RNAcentral's name for it is "partial 16S ribosomal RNA". It matches the Rfam family "Bacterial small subunit ribosomal RNA", at positions 524 to 776 of the family's 1533-position model. The record is from RNAcentral.